CUGGUUGAUCCUGCCAGUGAUCAUAUGCUUGUCUCANAGCUUAAGCCAUGCAAGUCUAAGUUCAGGCUUGUUCCUUUCGGGGAGCGAGCCGAAACUGCGAACGGCUCAUUAGUCAGAUAAGGUUCCUUGGCUAAAAGCGGGUCGGUUUUAAUGGAUAACUGUGGUAAUUCUAGAGCUAAUACAUGCAACGCACCGUGGUCCCCGUAGUCUUCUCGUCUCGGGGAAACGGCAUUUAUUCUCUGGACCAGAUCGCCCUAGCCUGCGAAGCUACCGUCAAAAGUAGCGACGGGGCGAAGCGACAAGUGUUGAAAUCCGAAUAACUGUGCCGAUCGCGGGGUCUUUCCGGGCCCCCGACGACUUUGCCAUGAAGUGUCUGUCCCAUCAAUUGGCGAUGGUCGGCGACCUGCCUACCACGGUGUUGACGGGUAACGGGGAAUCAGGGUUCGAUUCCGGAGAGGGAGCCUGCGAAACGGCUACCACCUCCAAGGAGGGCAGCAGGCGCGCAACUUACCCAAUCCCGACACGGGGAGGUAGUGACGAAAAAUAACGUGGCGGGGCCCUUUCGUGGUCGCCGCGGGCGGAAUGAGCGCAAUUUAAAAGAGUGUGCGAGGANNNNNNNNN
Molecule: non-coding RNA, 621 nt
Filed under: Lottia gigantea (owl limpet)
Lineage: Eukaryota; Metazoa; Mollusca; Gastropoda; Lottiidae
Description: Eukaryotic small subunit ribosomal RNA
Rfam family: Eukaryotic small subunit ribosomal RNA
Source: Rfam by way of RNAcentral